CGGUUCGUCCCAGGAGCAAUUCU
This 23-nucleotide microRNA is filed under the name Drosophila yakuba. RNAcentral describes it as "dya-miR-312-5p". Its record names the gene dya-miR-312-5p. The record is from miRBase by way of RNAcentral. Lineage: Eukaryota; Metazoa; Arthropoda; Insecta; Diptera; Drosophilidae.